UACGUAGGGGGCGAGCGUUAUCCGGAAUUACUGGGUGUAAAGGGUGCGUAGGCGGUACGGCAAGUUUGAUGUGAAACCCUCGGGCUUAACCCGAGGCAUGCAUCGAAAACUACAGAACUAGAGUGCAGGAGAGGAAAGCGGAAUUCCUAGUGUAGCGGUGAAAUGCGUAGAUAUUAGGAAGAACACCAGUGGCGAAGGCGGCUUUCUGGACUGUAACUGACGCUGAGGCACGAAAGCGUGGGGAGCAAACAGG
RNAcentral lists this ribosomal RNA (253 nucleotides) under Defluviitalea saccharophila. RNAcentral's name for it is "partial 16S ribosomal RNA". It matches the Rfam family "Bacterial small subunit ribosomal RNA", at positions 524 to 776 of the family's 1533-position model. Lineage: Bacteria; Bacillati; Bacillota; Clostridia; Lachnospirales; Defluviitaleaceae. The record is from RNAcentral.